Molecule: long non-coding RNA, 11773 nt
Filed under: Marmota monax (woodchuck)
Lineage: Eukaryota; Metazoa; Chordata; Mammalia; Rodentia; Sciuridae
Source: RNAcentral
AGUGUUCACACAGGGACAGGACCAGACCUGGGCCCACAUCUGUUUUCACUCCAGGGUAGUUCUUUCAAGUUUGAUUUCCAUUUUAGGCUCUUGAUUAUUUUAAAAUAUCUAUCUAAGGUCACAAAGAAGGCAAAACUGGAACAGUUGCUUUGACAAUUUCUGGCAGUGUCGACACUCAAGCCAGGACACUUAGAGAUCUCUACAUUUAUUGUGUUUUCUUCCAAUUGAUCAUUGUUAUUAUUUUUUAGAUAAUAAUGUUUAUUUUUUGUUCUUUUUAGAUGUACAUAAUAGUAGGGUAUUUUGACAUAUCACACAUACAUGGAGUAGAAAGCCUCAUUCUUGUGGUUGUACAUGACGUGGUGUUACACUGCUCAUGUGUUCGUAUACAAACAGAGGAAAGUGGUGUUCCACUCAUUCUACUGUUGUUCCUGUUCACACCCACCCUCUUCCCUUCAUUCCCUUCUGUCUUAUCCACUGAACUUUUGUUCUUCCCCCACCCCUUAUUGUGUGUUAGCAUCCCCAUAUCAGAGAGAACAUUCAGCCUUUGGUUUUUAGGGACUGGCUUAUUUCACUUAACAUGAUGCUCUCCAUUUCAUCCAUUUACUGGCAAAUGCCACGACUCUAUUCUCUUUAUGGCUGAGUGAUAUUCCAUUGUGCAUAUAUACCACAUUUAAAAAAAAAUCCAUUCAUCUGUUUUAAAGGGCACCUAGAUUGGUUCUAUAGUUUAGCUACUGUUAAUUGAGCUGCUAUAAAUAUUGAUAUGGCAUGUGGCUGCAUCACUGUGGUAUGCUGAUUUAAAAUCCUUUGGGUAUAGACAAGGAAUUGUAUAACUGGGUGGUUCCGAUUCAGGUUUCCUGAGGAAUCUCCAUACUGCUUUCCAGGGUGGUUGCAAUAAUUUGCAGUCCCACCAGCAAUAUAUGAGUGUGCCUUUUCCCCUACAUCCUUGCCAACAUUUAUUGUUACUUGCAUUCUUUGAUAAUUGCCAUUCUGACUGCAAUGAGAUGAAAUCUCAGUUUAGUUUUAAUAUGCAUUUCUCUAAUUGCUAGAGCCAACCAAUUAUUAAACAACCCUGCUCUCUUUCCUCGACUGACUAUGUUCAGAACUGGCAUCAUUUAGGUGAGCAUAUGCUUCAGGCAGCAAGUUCCCGCAGGUGCCUGGAGGCGGCCAGGCACAGGGAGGGCUCAUAGAUCAAGCAUUGUGAUGGCCCUUGCCUGACUCUCUUAGUUUAGUUUUCUUUGGCCAGUUAUCUUCCUUAGGGAAGUGCUGCUUUUACUGAUUUUUUUUUUCAAUCUGGUGAGACUUUAGAAAUCUGCUAUAAAGGAAUACUGCAAAUCCUCUUUUUAUGUGAAGGUGAUUAUUUCCACAUUAUGGAAAGCAUAUUAUGCUCAAAGAAAAAACUUUUAAAAAUCUUCAGGAGCCACAUAGAGGUCAUAGCAUUUUAGAUGUGGAGGGAGCAUCCCAAUCACCCAGUUCAGUGCCUCAUGAUGCAGACAGGGACGCUGAGGUCCAGUAAAUCCCAAGAGUGUGAGCAAGUGGUAGCCGAGGAGGGACCCAGUGUCCUCUUUAUGACUGCACUGUGGGCAUCUGAUGUCUGCUCUUAUUCUAAAAAUGGGCAGAGCAACUAAAAAAUACAUCCUCGUUCAGAGACAGGCAAGUAAUAAUCAUGAUCGCAGGACCUGUCAGUGGAGCCCUUAAUGGUUUAUAAAAUCUUAAACACACAGAAGUCUGGAUAUGUAAAAUGAGGUUUUUUAGGCAUCUUGUGAAAUAGUAUUAAUUCAUCAACUUUUUACCCCUAUGGGAUUUUGUUGUCAGAUUCUGAAGCAAUUUCUUUUUUAAAAUUUGUUUUAAUUAAUUACACAUGACAGUACAAUGAUCUUGACAUAUCAUACAUUUGAAUCAGAUGGGAUAUAAUUUCUCAUUUUUCUGAGUGUACUGGUUGCAGAAUCACAUUGGUCAUGCAGUCACAUAUAUACCCACAGCAAUAAUAAUGUCUAUUUUAUUCUGCUGUCAUUCUAUUCCCCCCUUCCCCACCCUCCCUUCCCAUCUCUUCUCUCUACCCAAUCUAAUGUGAUACACUUCUUCUUUUUUUCCCCUCACAUCUUUAUACCUGAAUUCUGUAUAACGAAUAGGGUCUCCUUCCCUCUUCCAUGCAAUUCUCAUUCUCCCUCCCUUUCCCUCCCACCUCUCUUCCCUAUCUAGAGGUAAUUUUCUUCUCAUGCUCUUCCUUCCUACCCCAUUUUGAGUCACCUCCCUUACAUCAGAGAAGACAUUUGGCAUUUGUUUUUUUGGGACUGGCUAACUUCUGAAGCAAUUUCUGAAUUCUCAAAGAAGAAAACCAUUUAAGAAAGGAAGCCAGAUUACUGGAUUAUUUCACUUUGGUUAUGAUCUCUAUUUAAUUUCUUUUAACUAUAAUAACAUUCCUUAGGUAAAGAAGCUAACAUGGAAUUUUCUGAGGUUAGUUACCAAAAUUUGGCAAUUUAAGUGAGUUUUUAAAUUUCAUCUGCUGAAGAUGUAGUAGUAAUGUUUGUAUUUUUUUUUUUUUUUGAACCAGGAAUUGAACCCGGGGUACUUAACCACUGAACCACACCCCCAGUCCCUUUUUAUAUUUUACUUAAGAGAUAGGGUCUCAGGGAGUAGCUUAGGGCCUUGCUAAGUUGGUGAGGUUGAUCUUGAACUCACAAUCUUUCUGCCUCAUCCUCCCAAGUCACUGGGAUUAUUAUAGGUGUGUGCCACUGUGCCUGGCAAGGGUUUGUGGGUUUUGAUAAUUGCACAAGAGAUUUUAAGGUUUGGAUAGAGCAAGGAAAUCUGGCGUCAUGAUUUAGACUCAAGUUUCCCAAAUCCUUCAGAUUUGAGUGGCAGGUUCUUGGAAGGAGCAGGGAGCUACAGAAUGGCCUUGGUGGCAGCAGUGCAGCCUGAUGACAGGACUUACUGCCCACAUGCCAGUGUGAAGAAGGGUGGGGAGGCAUCUAGUCAGCUUUGGAAAUUGUACAGCAGCAUUCACGUGGGGGUUGAUUAACAAGAACAGCUGCCUUGCCCUAAGGCUGCCCUCACUGCAGUCCUAUGUCACUGUCCCCAGGCUCCCCUUCAAGGGUGUGCUCUGUCCUCAUCUUAGAAAUCACAAUGGAGAACCUGAGGUGAAGCUGGUGUCUGCUGCUUGCCCCAGGCUGGUCAGCCCAGUUGUGGCCAUGCUGGGUGUAAGACAGGGCAGCUGGCCCCAAAGCCCUCGAACUCCCAUUGAACGCUUGUUAUUACACGAAAGAAACUUUGGUGAAACGACUUUCUGCUUUCCUUCAGAAUGUGCUCCAAGAGAUCAGCAUUUCCUGUCUCUGGACAAGCUGAGCUGGUAGCCCAGACUUUUAAUUCCCCUGCCUGUGCCCUGGGGCUAGCUGCUCCUUCUCUGGCCUCCUGCUCCUCCUGCUUGGUCAGCACACAGCAGGAUUGCAGAUGAGCCUGGGCACGGCAGCCCUUGGUGUGCGAGACGAGUUCUGGGGUACCUGGAUCUGGAAUCCUAGGCAGAAAGGCCGGACACCUGGGGCUACUGCCACGUAAGCAACCUGCAACCUGGACCCUCUCGCUGUCUCAGUAGUGAGAAAAGCCUGUUUUCGUUUCUUCUUUUGCCAAGCCCAUCUGGACAGAACAGGUGCAGGGCUGGGGCCUCAAAAUAGCAGCCUUUUUCCGAGUGAUGUGGCACUGUGGAAACCCCCUUGCCCCUCCACCUUGCAUUCAGAUUGGAGAGAUGAUGAAAAUCUGCCACCUCAGGGCAUUUUCUGACUUCUCCAGGACAUUUCAUUUUUCAGUUGACCCCUCUAGUUUCCCCAUUUGUAAGCUACAGAGCAUGUCCUUGGUGAUUUGAAGGUCACUUCUGGCUUUGAGAUCCAUUUCUAUGUUUCCAAUUAGAGCUCAGGUUGUGGAAUCCACCCAGCAAUGUGAAUCCCAGUAAUGUGAAUCCCAGCAAUGUGAUCCCAGCAGGAUCAGGGAGAAAUCGUUAUUCCUGACGGCUGGAGCCCACCACCCUGACACCCCAGGUGCUCUGCACCAGCAACCCUCCCCAAGCUGGUCGACACUCUCCACAUCUUCAGCAAGACCUGAUGUGUGUGCUAAGGAUCAUGGAAAAUGGCAGAUGGCUGUAUUAAACUCUGGGAGGGUUGUUUCCAUGAUAACUGCACUUCCUUUAUGCUUAAGAAUGAAAGAUUUCUCUCAAAAGUUGUAAAUCCUUAGUGAUUGGACUUUACAGGAUUGUUAUUUAUUAAAAUGUAGUAAUUCUAGAAACCCAUGGAGAAGGUGUUAUCAUUCCUACUUUAUGAGGAGGGAGAGCGAGUCUCAAGAUGCAGCCCUUGUUCCUUCUCUGUGGGUUCUUGGGGAAUUAAAUGAGAGAAAAGAUGUGGUGCUGUUCUGAAAACAAAGCCUCCAUCUUCCAAAGUACAAUGUAAACCCUCCUCAUGGGCUGGGGCUGAACUCAGUGGUAGAGCACUUGCCUAGCAUGUGAGGCACUGGGUUUAAUCCUCAGCACUACAUAAAAAAAUAAUUAAUUAAAUAAUGAUUAAAAAUUAAACUUAACAUUAAAAAAUAAAAAGCCCUCCUCAGUCCCCCACUGGCUAGGUGGAGAUUGUGAGGGGGGCUCUUCUUUUUGGAGCUGUACUAGGCACUGAGGACACUUAGGGUCCAACCAUGAGUUCCUCUCUAUUUACACACAUGAGUUAGUGAUUGGCCUCAAAGCUGGAAAAUAAGUUUGUGAUGGGCCUCUGAUCUCAAAUAAACUAGCAAUUUUUUAGAUGAAGCAAAAUGAAUACCAAUUGCUCAAUUAGAGAUCAAGGUAACUCAGGAAAUGACCAACUGAUAUAUUGGGCACGAGGUGCCCAAGCAGAGCAGGUAACGUCUCCCAGGGUUGGACUCUGGUCCUGUUUUUAGGGGUAGUGGAGGGCCAGUAUGGCUGCUCAUCUGAAGAAGUCAAGACCACAGGCUGUGGCUUUCAGCACUAGGGGAAAAGGCAAGGAAGUUGUGUACUGCUGGUAAGACACUGACGUGGGUUAUUCAAAAUGAUCAAUGUGAUCGCUAAGUAGGAAGAAGGUGUGCCGUGAAAUACCUGUAAGUGACAGAAAUUGACCACAGGACGUAGCAAUGGUGCCACUGACCCAGUGGCCAUGUAUAAAGACACACAGAUAAAUGUUAGAAAAGAAUGGGUGAGGGCUGGGAUAUAGCCUAGAGGUGGAGUGUGCCAAGCAUGCACUGGGCCCAGAGCUCUGUUCUCUCUCUCUCUCUCUCUCACACACACACACACACACACACACACAAUGUGAGAAAACAACCGAUGUGUUAGGGUUGUGGAUUUAUGGAUGAAUUCCAAAAACAUCCCUUUUUAUUAUCCCUUUGCCUUUAAUAGCUGACAUAGGCCGGACAUUUUGAAUAACUUCACACUGAAUCAUGACUCAGAUUGAACACUGUCCCUGCCCUGGGCAAGGGCCCCAUCCUUCUUUGGUGCAGGGCUUCCUCUCUGGCAUUCAUGGUGAUCUCUAUCUUAAAUUGUUGGAUUUUUUUUGUUUGUUUGUUUUUAAAAAAAUAUAACAGAUCCAUUGCACAGGAUGAAAUCUUGUCUCCUUCAAGUGAAUUUCUGGGGAUUUUCCUUCUCAAAUUCCCCACAACUAAUAUUGAAUCCAAAGGAAGGGAGAAGCCUUGGUAUUAGGGACUGGCCUGCUACUUCUUUAGAAAACACCCCAUUCCCCUAACACCCAGGCAGCUCCCUUCACGAACAGCAGGAUACAACUGCCAGCUUAGCAAAUGGAUAAUUCAGGAAGGAUUUAUCUUUUCCUUUGGAAGGUGGAGCCUUCAAUUUCAAAACAACUCCUUAUGAACUUUUUUUUUGGCUUUGGGGAACACAUUGAUUUCAUGGGGUGACUGCCCUGGAGGUAUAAUGAAAACCCAGGGCUGGGCCCCCACAGCUUGCAUAGCUGCGUUCCUGCGAAGGGGAAGAGUGUGAAGACCAGCAAGUGUGGCCCUUGGUUUGUCCCAGUGUCAGUUCAAUCAAGUCACGUUGCCUUGGCCCACACAGGCUUGUCCUGUGAAGACAGCUGAAAAAAAUAUCUGGGUGUCUGUGCCCGUCUAAUGAUCAGAUCACUUCCCCUGAAUCAGAAAUUAAUAAGACAGGAAGACUCUGGUCCUUCCUGCCACCACAGGGGAGUCUGGGCCCUGAGCUGACUUCUCAAGGUGUGAGAAUGGAAAAGAGAGAGGACAGGCAGAGCCCUAAGGCCUGGCCUCCAGUCUUGUGUCCACCUCAGCUGUGGACUAUGUUAAGUCUGUCAGCUGCUCGAAGGCCCAUCUCUCUGUUUAUUAGAGGGGGUUGUCUUGUCCUUCUGACCAUUGUCCUCCUAGUUUAUAAAUUGACCUUAUCCAUUUUUUUUUAUCAAUUCUAAUCUAAUCCCCAUUCCUCUGUUACUUUUAGUUGGCUCCCCGAGGGGCAUUGGUGCCCAGUUCAUUCUGUAAUAAUUUUUGCUUGUUGGUACCCCCAAGAAAGCUUUUCUUUUUGGCAAGGAUGUUUCUUUCUCAGGAACUCGGAGAGCAGGUGUUGUGACGGCCAGGUGCUGUGUUCCCUCACUGUGCCCUGCUCUCUUGGGGCUCUUGUCCAAACUACCACCCUUCCCAGUGAUUCUGUCUUUAGAGUCUUUCUCGUGUACAAAAAUAGUCAUAACCCAAGAGUAAAAAGUUACCAACUUUUUACAUAAAUCCUGGAAUGUUUAUAGAUCUAGUAUUUUUUCUUAUCAUAAAUGAAGGCAAUAAAUUCACAAAAGCAGUUUUUUUUCUUGUAACUAAAUGAGGUUGUUUGAGAAAUUUGGACACACACACACACACACACACACACAGUCUUUUCCAGUUGUGAAAUAAUUCAGAAUUGCUCAGGGAAGGAUGCAGUUCUUUCCUGGCCAGCUCAAAGACCUCUCGCCUCUGUUCAACCUGUGGACAGGCCCUGCCGACCACUGUAAGUGCCCAUUGUGUAUACAGAGAGCAUAGCUACAACCCUGGGUACAGGUUGUUCAUGCAGUUAAUCUAGAUCAUCUGGGGUCAUCAGAAGUGAGAACAUUUCUAGCUGAGAAGGAACACAAGAAAUUCUUGUUCUACAAGGGCAGCAGAAGGAUGGCAGCAGUCCCUGGAGGCUCAGGUGAAGAGUGGGUGACAGGAGGGACUCUUCCUGGAGGCCUGGGCCAUCAGGUCCCCUGGCCUUGUUCUAGGAGGGUGACUGCAGAAGAGAGAGCUUUGAACUCAGAGGGCAGGUAUCUGAGAGGUGACUUCUCCACUUGGGUAAGCCUCCAUCUCCCUGGUCCUGCUUCUUCAUGUAAACUGAGGAAGUAGUGUCACACUCUGUGAGUCAUUGUACCCAAAAAACAAACAAACAUAACCACACUUGGAGAAAAACAGCUCAUGUAACUUCUACAAACACAUCAGCCAUCAGCAAUUCCUUUAUACAUGCACUCAUUGAUUUAUCCAGCAAAUGCUCAUAUGACUACGGCACUGUGCUCUGUGCUAAGUUCUGUCGAAUCUGUAAAAUUAUAUAAAUCAAAGUGCAAAAAUUCUAGUUCAGGUCUCAGUGCUAGGAGAAUCAUAAAAGGAAGUGUGGAAAUAGGGAGAGACUUCCUGUAGGUCUCAAGCUGCUGCCCUGACCCUCGGUGCUGUCAUGGCCUGCAGCUCCCAAGGGCAGCCCUGCCAGUCUCUAUGUGAUGGACAAUUUUAGGAGCUUAUAUUUUGAUAGGAAAUAAGCACAGAGAUACUCUGAUCUUACAUAAACCAAAAUACCAUGUGGGGGGUAACGUGCCUCGAAUACUUGACUAGAGUGAUGUGAGGAGUCAGGGGGCCACCUCUGGGCGUAGUCAGAGGGGUUUUUACUAUGCACCUACAAUCUCUUUGGGGAGAGGGAAUGUUUUUUUAAGUCAGGUGGAAAUAGACCAAGUUUGUUGUUCAGACACACCCGCAGAUGAGUUGCUCAUGAAUUAAGAGGUUGGUGGCCUUGCUGGCACCACAGUUAAGCCAUUUGCACGUCAUUAUUUCAGAGGGUGCCAAGAAUCCUGCCACAUGGUGACAGUGUUGUGUGCAACUAUCCUAUCAAACAGACUUAUUGGAAACACAUUUUAGAAACUUGUUGAUGGCACUGAUCAGUUCUUACUGCUUAUUAGAUCUUCCUUAGGAAGGGCACUCACUGUUCUUUCUUGCAUAAUAAUUAGGGGUUAUUGUAUUUCUGGGCAAUUCAUUUUUGAAAACCAAGCUCAGGGUGAGGGUAGAUAGAGCUGAUUGCGAGGAAGAGAGACGGCCUCUGUGUGAGGGGUAGGGAGAUGGGGGUGGAUUAUGUCAUUUCUCACACACUCCUGUCUCACCUCUCCUGUUUCAAGGACUUUGAUUUCUUUUUUAUUUUAUUAUCAGUACAGGAGAUUCUGUCUGCUUCUGUAAGCCUUUACAGCCUUCCAAGGAUGGCGGAGGUGGGGGAGGGCAGCAUAGACAAGCUAAUCUGAGGGCACAGGAAGCCUUCUGGCCCUUUGGCUGGAGUGGCUCUUGUCACUGAUGUUGCAGUCCCAGGAAAUCUUCCCCUCUCCAGGUGGGCUGCUCUGGUAGUAGUCAGUGGAGGCUCCAAAUCUCCACUGCCCUCUCUAAUAAUGGAACCCUGGCACCGGGAGGGGUAGGCAGCUGAUUGGCUCAAUGCACAGAAACUCCCAGAAACCCACACUGGACAGGGCCCUGUGGUUGGAAAUGUCUUCAGAGCUUACUGUCUCCGUUUCUCUGCUUUUCCUCCUGCUUCCCCAGUGUUUCCAUCUCUGUUUUCUUCUUUCUCUCAUCAUGUCUGUCUGUCUGUCUGUCUGCUCUCUCUCCUCCGCCCCCUUGGUUGUGGUGCUGGGGAUUCACCCAGGGCUACUCUGCUACUGAGCUACAUACCCAGCCAUUUUUAUUUAGAAACAGAAUCUUGCUAAGUGACCCUGCCUGGUCUUGGACUUUAAUCCUCCUGCCUCAGCCUCUUGGAGAGUUGGCCUUACAGGUGUGCACCACACACCCGGUUUCCUUGCUCUAUUCAUUAUCAUUCCCCUGUAAUCAUUUCAAAUAUUUAAUUGUACACAUUAUGGAAUUAAAAGAUGAACAACUUGCUACAUAAAAGGCUGUAUAAUAUAUAUGCCCACACCCACAGAAUAUUUUCUAUUUUUUUUAAAAAAAGAAUUAAAAAACCCUGACUCAAAAUGACAAUAAGAAGGGCUAGGGACUGGUAAUGUUGCUCAGUGGUAAAGUACCCCUGGGUUCAAUCCUCAGUUCAAAAAAAAAAAAAAAUUAGAAUAUCUAGAAGAAUGUAAAUGGGGGUUGACUAUGUGUUUGGAUGGGUGAUCCUGAAUCCAGGAUUUUCUUAUGUCUGGAUUAUUGUCUUUGGUGGGUAACAGAGAGUCUCUCCCGGGAACUCAUGUGGCCCCUGAGUCUGUGGAGCACAGGGAAGCCGAGAGGCAUUAGGUGGGCAUCCUUCCCACUUUACUCAGGUCGUAGGAGCAGGUCUAAGCUUUUGUUAGGUGACUUAGGCUCUGGAAGUCGCAAGUGAGCAUUUGAGUGUCCUGCUGCAGUUCCAUGAGGCCGGGGAUUUUCGUGUCCUCCCGAUCCAUGUGUACCCUUCCCACCCGCCUCCCUGUCUCUGGCUCACAGGCCAUAUGCUCAUAAAUAUCCAUAGGGUGAAAGAACUCAGGUAUUUAUGUGGCCUUAGAAGCUGUUGGAGACUGGGUUGAAUAUGUUAUGAUUCCCCAAGGUGUUUUUUUAUUUUCUCAUGAUGUUAGUUUUUUUCCCUUGUUAUUUGUCUGUGCAGAGUGAAGGGCAAAGAAAAAAAAAUUGCAGCCAUCACAGAACUUCGGUAAAAUACCCCCACUUACCUGCCUACGAACCAGGUGGGCAGAGGGCAGGUCUAAGUGGCAUGUGGCCCAGAGAGAGUCUAAGAUGUCUUGAGUCCAGAGCCCCCUUCUCUGCAGGCCCUUUGCUCCCUGACCAGCUAGGUUGUUGGACCACUUGAGAUUACGUGCUGACGACUGAAGAAUGUGUGUGUGUGUGUGUUUGUAUAAAAUAUUGAUUUUUUUUUUGGAAAAUACAUCUUUUAUACUAAUCCUGCAACAGUUUAUAAGAUCCAUCAUGGCCUCAGCUAGGGUGGGUGGGAGGAAAUGCCCCAGAUUGAACUGUUCCUUAGGCCUGGGGGGAGGUACAGAAUCAGCAAAUAGUGCCUCCACCUGGUGCCUCAGUUUCUUCAUCUUUACAAGAUAUUUUUUUCUCACUUUUGCAUGUUAGAUAGUUGGGGAUGAACAGAAAGAAUGCAAGGUAUUAUUGGAUAGUGGGAGAAACAAAUGUUUUGGGAUGAGCUUAGGAAGGACCCACAUGGAAUUAGUGCAGGGGGGAACAUCCACGGGGCUCAGCCAUGGGCCUGGAGAACCUGUCAGCAAUCGAGAACAUGAAAAGAUCACUGACCAAGUUUGCACCAUGGCCUAUACUGAGUGGAUUUUGCACAAUGUUUCAAUUACGGGUCAGGAUGAUGCUGAGGUAGAGGUUUCAUUGCUCUUGUCUUAUAGUAGACAGAGAGCUAAAGAUGAAGAGGAGGUAAAUAAAUUUACAAUGAUGGAUUCCCACGUGAGAGUUCAGUAUUCCAUCUUCUUAAUCAGAGGGCUGGAGUGCUGUGAUUACCUAUGAGGUCACCCAGGGUGUCGAGGAUUCCCCAGGCUGGCCAUUCACACUGGUGGAUGAUGGGAUGCACCUUCUCUGACUUCUAGUAUGUGUGUUAGGUGCCCUUCCUGUGCUGAGCCAUCUAGACCUCCUCUCCCCCCACCAGAAUGCUCCAUGUUGCAAUUUCUGGCUCCUUGUUUCCACGCUAGGCCAGGAGCAUUGUGAGUCUGAGAGUCUUGUCUUGUCCACUGGGGUAUCUUCAGAGCAUCUCCCCACACAUAGGAGAUGCUCAUAGAUGUCCAUGGAAAGAAUGAAGGUGGGCGUCCACACAUACAAGCACACAGACAAGCUUUUCCUAUAGUUGUAGGGUUGUCUGGUGUAGAAAGGUAGACAAAUGGCCCUGUAGCUUGUGUAAGGACUGACAGAUGGGUGCCAGGACAUGUGGGUGGAUAUAUGCAUAGAUGCGAAGGGACAUGGUAGAAGAGGGAACUUCUGUCAUGCCCUCUAGAAGUUCACUGAAAUCUAUUCUGAAAUGUUGAUGGAGUUCAUCCCUGUCCUUCCCUGUCUCUCAUCCCUGAAAUGGAGAAACUAUUUAGCAAACUAUUCCUUGCUAUUCGGGUACCUCCAGGACCUCUGUGGCCCCAGAAAGCAUCUCUUCACACGUCAGCCUCUGGGUCUAGUUCCCAGGUCGGACCUCUCCAAGAACACUGACUGUUCUGGGCUGGUCCAGCAGGAAAGCCCUGGCCCUGGAGGUGAGGUGGUGGGUGUGGGUGGAGUGGUGUCAAACAAGGUUGGCUUGGUGUUUUUUCCAUUCUGGGGCUGGACAUGGCUGUGGCCAGGUGCAGGGGCCCCAGGUGCACAGGGCCUCAGGAGCUUCUGAAAGGGUGUGGGGUGCACUGCCCAGCAUGCUGGGGAGGAUGGGAGCGAGCGAAAGCAACAGAUGUGCUCUGGGUUCUGUUUUCAGUUCCCCAAAGGGUCCUCUCCUUGACUGAAUCAGUGUGACUGUUGCCAUGACAAUUGCUAUCUUGGUCCUGGGACUCUCCUCAACAAGGUAGCAUUACUUUUUUUGGUGUUCUCAGGCCAGUCACCAUGAAACUCAGUAAUAACCAACCUGGGCUGGGGU